Molecule: ribosomal RNA, 1788 nt
Filed under: Triticum aestivum (bread wheat)
Lineage: Eukaryota; Viridiplantae; Streptophyta; Magnoliopsida; Poales; Poaceae
Description: partial small subunit ribosomal RNA
Source: RNAcentral
AUGCGCCCGGUCGGCCAAAUCACUACUUGGGCUGAAUUCAGUGAGGCUUUCCGUGAGCAUCACAUUCCGGAAGGUCUCAUGGAUCGCAAGAGGGAGGAGUUCUGCAACUUCACCCAAGGAAGACUGACUGUGGAUGCAUAUAGUCGUGAAUUUGGGAAUCUGGCACGCUAUGCCCCUGAAGAGGUAUCUACUGACGCUAAGAAGCAGGCAAGGUUCCGCAAGGGACUUAGCCCUGAGCUUCGCCACGAUCUCCGUCUGCACGAGUGCACAUCCUUUCAGAAGUUGGUCAAUAAAGCCAUCAGUGCUGAGACAGGCCAGACUGAUUAUGACGCUUCACGCAAGGACUCCCGUGAUUUUGGCUCUUCAUCCGGCUUUGGAGCUCAGAAGCGCCGGGUGUGGAUUCCAAGCACGGCACUGCCACCCAGGUUCAUCCCGCGGCCAUCCUUUGAGGCGCCUCGUCCCAACCAGCAAUUUGCACUGCCCAAGCCCUAUGGUGGCCCCGCUGCUAAUGCUGCUCCAUGCCCCAAUGUGGUUUCAUGCUUCAAGUGUGGAGAGCCGGGUCACUAUAGCCGAGAGUGUCCCCAGAACAACAACCCCAAUCAAACUGGAAAGUCCGUUGGCUGUGGUAAGCCAGCGGGAAAGACAUUCUACGCCAAGCCGGCCACCACUGCACGUGGCCAUGUCAACUAUGUUUCAGCCGAGGAGGCUCAUGAGGAUCCCAAUGUCGUCCUUGGUACGUUCCUUGUUAACUGCCAUCCGGCAUCUGUUCUUUUCGAUACUGGAGCAUCUCAUUCAUUCAUAUCUGAGAACUAUGCUCGAUUGCAUAACACAACAUUCUGUGACAUGCCCUCUACCAUGGAAAUUCAAACCCCUGGCUCUAGAUGGCAAACUUCUAGAGUAAGCCAUGGGAACGAAAUUCUUGUCGAUAGACUUGUCUUCCUUGCAUCCUUAAUAGCUCUCAAGUCCUCCGACAUAAACAUCAUCUUGGGUAUGGACUGGAUGUCAGCUUAUUAUGCUAAGAUCGAUUGUGCCACUAGAACCGUUCAACUUACUCACCCCUCGGGCAAGACAGUUAAUGUCUUAACUCGAGUGGCCAAGCGCCAACUUUACUCCCUAAAUGCCAACCCCCUUCCAGACCUUGAGGAUGUUCCGGUAGUCCGAGACUUCCCGGAUGUCUUUCCAGAAGAACUGCCAGGUGUUCCACCUGACAGGGAUGUCGAGUUUGUGAUAGACCUUGUUCCAGGAACCGUUCCAAUUUCUAGAAGACCCUACAAGAUGGCACCCUUAGAACUAGCCGAGCUUAAGAACCAACUCGAUGAGUCCUUAAAAAAGGGUUUCAUCCGUCCUAGUUCCUCUCCUUGGGCUUGCCCCAUCCUCUUCGUUAAGAAGAAGGAUGGAACGGAUCGAAUGGUUGUGGACUACCGACCUGUCAACUUGGUCACCAUCAAGAAUAAAUACCCGCUUCCCAGGAUCAACGAUCUGUAUGAUCAGCUCGCUGGAUCCUCAUUCUUCUCCAAGAUGGAUUUGAGGUUGGGUUACCAUCAAAUCAAAAUCAGAAAUGGGGACAUUCCCAAAACGGCCUUUGUUACUCGUUAUGGCCAAUACGAGUACACCGUCAUGUCCUUCGGUUUAACCAAUGCCCCGGCUACCUUCUCUUGGUUAAUGAACUCGGUCUUCAUGGAGUACUUGGAUAAAUUCGUCGUAGCAUACCUCGAUGACAUACUCAUCUACUCCAAUAAUGAAGAGGAACAUGCCGAACAUCUAAGGCUGGUAUUGAUGAAACUUUGA